AGAUGAGGCUGGAUCUAGUAAUGUCAGAGAUGGUGGUGUAGAUGAGGCUGGGUCUAGUCAUGCUAUGGAUGGUGGUGUAGAUGAGGCUGGGUCUAGUCAGGUUAUAGAUGGUGGUGUAGAUGAGGCUGGGUCUAGUCAGGUUAUAUAUGGUGGUGUAGAUGAGGCUGGGCCUAGUCAGGUUAUAUAUGGUGGUGUAGAUGAGGCUGGGCCUAGUCAGGUUAUAGAUGGUGGUGUAGAUGAGGCUGGGUCUAGUCAGGUUAUAGAUGGUGGUGUAGAUGAGGCUGGGUUGGGGCCCAGAGAGGAAGGGCAGGAUGGGAGAUGGAGAUGAGGAGGAAAGUGCAUCUGAGGAAGAGGAUGAUGAUUUUUCUUUCAGACUCCUCUU
Long non-coding RNA from Oncorhynchus tshawytscha (Chinook salmon), 382 nucleotides. The record is from Ensembl. Lineage: Eukaryota; Metazoa; Chordata; Actinopteri; Salmoniformes; Salmonidae.